This is a small nucleolar RNA of Hyaena hyaena (striped hyena), 119 nucleotides long. RefSeq annotates it as small nucleolar RNA SNORA67. The record is from RefSeq and is a predicted model, not a curated record. Lineage: Eukaryota; Metazoa; Chordata; Mammalia; Carnivora; Hyaenidae. The transcript has a single exon.
CACCAUCUUCAUGCUUUCUUCAGGAAAGUAGCAAGUUGGAAUAAAAUCUGGCACGCCUUAGGUUGUUGAGUAAGAGGGGAUGUUUGUUUCCUUUGCCUUCCUUUGGCUGCCUAGCACAU